RNAcentral lists this ribosomal RNA (535 nucleotides) under Protoparmelia ochrococca. RNAcentral describes it as "eukaryotic LSU rRNA". It matches the Rfam family "Eukaryotic large subunit ribosomal RNA", at positions 311 to 866 of the family's 3401-position model. The record is from RNAcentral. Lineage: Eukaryota; Fungi; Ascomycota; Lecanoromycetes; Lecanorales; Parmeliaceae.
UAAAGCUAAAUACCGGCUGGAGACCGAUAGCGCACAAGUAGAGUGAUCGAAAGAUGAAAAGCACUUUGGAAAGAGAGUCAAAAAGUACGUGAAAUCGUUGAAAGGGAAGCGCUCCAACCAGACCUGCCCGUGAGUGAUCAACCGCCGUUCUCGGUGGUGCACUCGCUCGCGAUCAGGCCAGCAUCGGUUCGGGCGGUCGGAUAAAGGCCUUGGGAAUGUAGCUCCUCUCGGGGAGUCUUAUAGCCCUCGGUGCAAUGCGGCCAGCCCGGACCGAGGACCGCGCUUCGGCUAGGAUGCUGGCGUAAUGGUUGUAAGCGACCCGUCUUGAAACACGGACCAAGGAGUCUAACAUCUAUGCGAGUGUUUGGGUGUCAAACCCAUACGCGGAAUGAAAGUGAACGGAGGUGAGAACCCUUUAGGGCGCAUCAUCGACCGAUCCAGAUGUCUUCGGAUGGAUUUGAGUAUGAGCAUAGCUGUUGGGACCCGAAAGAUGGUGAACUAUGCCUGAAUAGGGUGAAGCCAGAGGAAACUCGUG